This 1246-nucleotide ribosomal RNA is filed under the name metagenome. RNAcentral's name for it is "bacterial LSU rRNA". It matches the Rfam family "Bacterial large subunit ribosomal RNA", at positions 1564 to 2818 of the family's 2925-position model. The record is from RNAcentral.
UGAGUACGAGAUGCUACGGCAUCGAAGCAGUCUAUGUCAUACUUCCAAGAAAAGCUUGCAAUGUCAUAAACAAAUAAUGCCUGUACCAUAACCGACACAGGUGGGUAGGUAGAGUACACUAAGGGGCGCGAGAUAACUCUCUCUAAGGAACUCGGCAAAAUGACUCCGUAACUUCGGGAGAAGGAGUGCCUUAUUUUUAUAAGGUUGCAAUAACAAGAUCCAAGCAACUGUUUACCAAAAACACAGGUCUCCGCUAAGUCGUAAGACGAUGUAUGGGGGCUGACGCCUGCCCAGUGCCAGAAGGUUAAAGAAGUUGGUUAGCAUUAGCGAAGCUGAUAACUGAAGCCCUGGUGAACGGCGGCCGUAACUAUAACGGUCCUAAGGUAGCGAAAUUCCUUGUCGGGUAAGUUCCGACCCGCACGAAAGGCGUAAUGAUUUGGAUACUGUCUCGGAGAGGGGCUCGGUGAAAUAGACUUGUCUGUGAAGAUGCGGACUACCUGCACCUGGACAGAAAGACCCUAUGAAGCUUUACUGUAACUUGAGAUUGAAAUUGGACUUUAUCUGCGCAGUAUAGGUGGGAGACGUUGAAAAUAUUCUUGCGGGAAUAUUGGAGUCAUCAGUGAGAUACCACUCUUAUAAUGUUAGAUUUCUAACUUUGUAUCAUUAUCUGGUCAAAGAACAGUUUCAGGCGGGCAGUUUGACUGGGGCGGUCGCCUCCCAAACGGUAACGGAGGCGCACAAAGGUUUCCUCUGAACGUGUAGAAAUCGUAUCUAGAGUGUAAAGGCAUAAGGAAGCUUGACUGUGAGACCUACAAGUCGAGCAGGGACGAAAGUCGGUCUUAGUGAUCUGACGGUGCUGAGUGGAAAGGCCGUCACUCAACGGAUAAAAGUUACUCUAGGAUAACAGGCUGAUCUCCCCCAAGAGUUCACAUCGACGGGGAGGUUUGGCACCUCGAUGUCGGCUCAUCGCAUCCUGGGGCGGUAGUACGUCCCAAGGGUUGGGCUGUUCGCCCAUGAAAGCGGUACGCGAGCUGGGUUCAGAACGUCGUGAGACAGUUCGGUCCAUAUCCGGUGUAGGCGUUAGAAUAUUGAGAGGAGCCUUCUUUAGUACGAGAGGACCGAGAAGGACAUACCUCUGGUGUACCAGUUAUCGUGCCAACGGUAAACGCUGGGUAGCCAUGUAUGGAGAGGAUAACCGCUGAAAGCAUCUAAGUGGGAAGCCCACCUCAAGAUAAGUAUUCUCAUC